UGAAGUAAAACCAAGCAUGUAUAUACAAUGAAUUUCAGGAAUAAAAACUUUUUGGGAAAUUAUAGUAGAUCCUAAACAAAAAUAAAAUACAAAAUAGAAAGGUACUUUGACAUGGCCUUCCAUCAGUGUAUUCAUUUGUCUUCUAUUGAUCACCCACACCUGAAAUGAAAAUAAAAUGAUGGCUUCUCAUUUUGGUCUAAAAAAUUAGAUCAACAAAUGAUAAAUGAAAAUUAAUGUUAAUAAUUUUGUAACUGCAAUAAAUAUGGCAUCAGGACCAAAAGAUGCUCAAAUAACAUCAAUGCCUAAACUGUAGUAGCAUGCAGAUAUAACAUACUUUUUGUCUCAUAAACCAAAGGAAGUUCAGAAUAUACCAUCUUAAAUCGGUGUGAGCGCCUUGGCUUGCAUCAUCUCCUAGUUGACCUGAGCUACAAAUGCAAUACAGGUCAAUACUCUGAUUUCAUUGACCCUAUUUUGCACAGGUCAAUACAGAAGGAACCAAAUCAGUCAAUAGAGAUACUCUGAAGAAAUGCUUACCAUAUUUUUACAGAGAUGCAGAGGGAGAGGGAG
RNAcentral lists this long non-coding RNA (567 nucleotides) under Triticum aestivum (bread wheat). Its description in RNAcentral is "long non-coding RNA (TAES_LNC000518)". Lineage: Eukaryota; Viridiplantae; Streptophyta; Magnoliopsida; Poales; Poaceae. The record is from RNAcentral.